GCAGCCUCCGCCGCCGCCGCCUCCAUCGAUGAACCAUCCGCUACCGUCGCCUCCAUUCGCCAACCCAUCUAGCGUGCAUAUGGUGUUAGAGAGUCGUUGAUGAGGCAUGCCCGCCAUGGGAGGCAUGGCCGGAAUGGGAGGCUUUGGAGGCAUGGCCGACAUGGGAGGACCAAGCUAUGGAGGAGGCUUCAGAGGGUGUGGGAGCAUCGGUGAGUGGUGUGUAUGGAGCCAUGGAAGCACCACCGGGAGGAUUCGUGGCCUCUAUGGAUCCUACUCUUCCUCCUUCAAGCCAAGGUGUCGAUGAAGAAGAAGCAAAAGAUGACGAUGACUUGGAAAAUGCUGAAGUGUGAGAUUCUAUCUUGCAUUUGUGAUAUGCAAAUUCUGUGUUGCACUUUGUGUCCAUUUGAACUAUAUGAUGUGUGUGGUUGUUGGACUAAGUCAUGUUGUGUGUGGUUCUUGAACUAUGUGAUGUGUGUGUUGCACUUUGUCUCCAUUUAAACUAUGAUAGAUCAUUUGUUUGAUGAUUUAUGUGAGUAUUUGAUCAUGUUGAA
Molecule: long non-coding RNA, 551 nt
Organism: Lolium rigidum
Lineage: Eukaryota; Viridiplantae; Streptophyta; Magnoliopsida; Poales; Poaceae
Exons: 2
Source: RefSeq, a predicted model, not a curated record